This is an RNA transcript of Herpailurus yagouaroundi (jaguarundi), 5197 nucleotides long. It is a transcript of the gene named diphthamide biosynthesis 5, with no coding region annotated. The record is from RefSeq and is a predicted model, not a curated record. The transcript has 10 exons. NCBI's taxonomy places the organism in Eukaryota, Metazoa, Chordata, Mammalia, Carnivora, Felidae.
GGUCACUUCUGGCGCAGCCGGCAGAUCUCCCCCACCCCACCCGCAGAGGCCGGCUUGCCCGCCCCUCCAGCUAGUCGUAAAGUGCAGUAAAGGCGCUGACGUUUUGCGGCACCGUCGGUGAGGCCGGCGGCGUGGAUUUUCUCUGCGCGAAUCAUCGCUUUCGGUAGCUAUAUUUUCGGAAAGGCUGCUUUUAGGCUUUUGGGGACCCAACUACAAUUCUCUCUAGGUCUCCCUGGACUUUGAAAUGCUUUACCUGAUCGGCCUGGGCCUGGGCGAUGCCAAGGACAUCACAGUCAAGGGCCUGGAAAUUGUUAGACGCUGCAGUCGGGUGUAUCUGGAAGCCUAUACCUCAAUCCUGACUGUAGGGAAGGAAGUCUUGGAAGAGUUCUACGGAAGAAAAUUGAUUCUUGCUGAUAGAGAAGAAGUGGAACAAGAAGCAGAUAAUAUUUUAAAGGAUGCCGAUAUCUGUGAUGUUGCAUUCCUUGUGGUUGGUGAUCCAUUUGGGGCUACCACACACAGCGAUCUUAUUCUGAGAGCAACAAAACUGGGAAUCUCUUACCGAGUUAUUCACAAUGCUUCCAUAAUGAAUGCUGUAGGCUGCUGUGGUUUACAGUUGUAUAAGUUUGGAGAGACGGUAUCUAUUGUUUUUUGGACAGACACUUGGAGACCAGAAAGCUUCUUUGACAAAGUAAAGAAGAACAGACAAAACGGCAUGCACACGUUAUGCUUACUAGACAUCAAAGUAAAGGAGCAGUCUUUGGAAAAUCUAAUCAAGGGAAGGAAGAUCUAUGAACCUCCUCGGUAUAUGAGUGUAAACCAAGCAGCCCGACAGCUUCUGGAGAUUGUUCAGAAUCAACGAGUACGAGGAGAAGAGCCAGCAGUCACCGAGAAGACACUCUGUGUUGGCUUAGCCAGGGUUGGAGCUGAGGACCAGAAAAUUGCAGCAGGCACUUUGCAGCAAAUGUGUACUGUGGACUUGGGAGGACCGUUACACUCUUUAAUUAUCACAGGAGACAACAUGCAUCCAUUGGAGAUGGAGAUGCUAAGUCUGUUUUCCAUACCAGAAAAUAGCGCAGAAUCCUAAAGCAUUGAUGGAAUGGAAGCAUAGACAUUUUCUAUUGUUAGAUGUUAGUUUCAGUCAUAUAUGCACAUACCCGUAUUUGUAUAAUGAACAGUUCUUUGGUGUACCUAAUAAUUAUAAAACAAGUGACCAAGAAGAAAGAUCUUGACUCAAUAAUACUUAGUUUCCUGUGGCAGUGAGUUUUUUCCUUAUGACAUCAUCAUCUGUUGCUGCUAUUUUGGUGAUUUUUGAGGAUGUACACACAUGGAGCAGACCAAGCCUGAAAACUUGCGGAUAGAUAUUCAUAUUGUUAUUUAAAAGCAGUUUUUACUUAUGAAAUGAGUUUAUACAAUGUGGAACUUUCUUCUUUUUUAAAAGUCAGCUGUGCUGACCACAAGAUGAAUUGUCCUGACAGUAGUUGGUAUUAGUGCUUUAAGCAGAGGUGGGAAGAGUAAGUACCACCCAACUGUCCUCUUACUUAAAGCUCAGCUGAGUACAUGCCACAAAAUGACAUCUUUCUGAAUUGCCUUGUCUUGUUUAGCUGACACUCUAAUUAUGUGGUUUAUAUUCUGCUGUAUUUUGGAGGUUAUAUAAUUGUUGAAUUAUAAAUGUUCAGCCAGCCAUGGACAGUUGCUGUUUGGUUUUAAAUAGCAUCUUCACAUCCAAGUGGACAAAUGGAAAACUUAAUGACUAUAAAAUAUGGCUUUAAAAAAUUUAAGUUUGAAGACAUUGGGUUAGGCAAGAUUUGUCAUAUCACUUAACUCAGUAAUAUGCCACCGUAUGUAUGUAAGUAGUCACAUUCUUUUUCCUAGUUAUAAACAACUCUGCAUUUAUAAUAUUAUAUGACUACUGUAGAGUCUUGUACUUUUUGUUCAUAACAGAAAUAGCUUUGCUAGAUGCUAGUUUGGUUGGUCUAACUCUGAAUAUUUCCAUGGCUUAAUCAACCAUAGCUUAAAUUUUGUUAAAUUCAUUGGAAGUUGAACAUAUACUUCCCUACUUCCUGGGAGCAUUAAUUAACAAGAGAUUAUUCUGACUUAUUUCGUUUGAGAUAAAAGGUAUUUUAAAUAUAUAUGAAAUAUUCUGUUUUUAAUCUGUUACAUAAAAAGGGAGAGAGCCAAGGACAUUUAAGUACCAGUUCUGUGUUGUUUUCUUCUGAGGCAUUAAAGCAAGCAUUGAAGAAUUAUAUAAGGAAGGACUUCUGGCUUUGGUAAUGGUGGAAUAGCUUGUAAUGUACAAGCCCUCCCAAUUAUAAACUCUGGGAAAAACAUAACUGUCUGAAGACACUGGGGAAUGACCAAAAGCAAGCUGAGAACUAUACUUAUAUAUAGCUUUUUCCCUCAGGCCAUUCCCCAGUCUGUCUGGUAAGGGAUGGCUAGAAUUCAAGAGAAGGCUAGAAUUCAAGAGUCUUAUUGGCUUGAGGUGUCAGAGAAAUUGGGGGCUGCUAGAGGAGCUGUAAAGUGAGGAGGAAAUUCUAGAAAUGGAGAUGGCACUGAAGGAGGAGCCAGCCUUACAGUCUGUAUACGAAUCUCCUCUUAAUUCUUUAGCUAACUGCUGAAUUAUGCUUUGUACAGGGGAAGACUCCAUGAACCUGGUGGAAAGCCAUAGCUGGAAGGCUGAAAAAUCUGAGCAAAGUUUGUUGCUUUGUAUUGCAAGGGAAAACAGUUUUGAGUUUGAAUCCCGUCAAGAUAGAAGGCUUGCUGAUAUCAUACACAGGGAAUGAGGUGAAAGAAUAAUUCAGGGUUAAUCCAAAUAUCUGGAAACAAAUACUGUGAGAUGGUGUUCAUCAGGCAAAAUAAUCAGAGCCACAAUGAGGGCCUUCACAUGUUAAGACCUUACCAAUCUCCAAGCAUCUCCUCUCUCUGUAACACUAGUUUUGUGGAAAGGAAGCAGUGGCUUCCAUCAGCUUCAGCGAAGACAUUCAGAUGCCUGGAGGCCCAUAGUCCGAAUUCUUACUGGCUAGGAGGAGAACUGGGAGUGAGGGCAUUUUUGAAAUGGAAAAAGAAAAGAAAGGAAACAAAAACUAACAUCCUGGAACAAAACUAGAAACCUCAGAAAUCAAAAUGGUUUGGAGGGAAGAGCACAAAAGACAAGACCAACAGUCUAGGAGGGACCCUCUUAACUCUGAUCCCUCAGCUGUGAAGUCCUGGCAGAGCACAAAAGGCUGACGCUACCUGGUGUACUUGGAGCUGGGGAUUUGUAGUGACGAUUUCCGUCUUAAAAGCUAGGUACAGUGUUUUGGAUUGUACAGUACCAGAAAUAUUGGGUCCCCCAAAAAGGACAAUUUCUUUUCAUUCAUUACAUGGCUGCAAAGUCAAUCUGUACAUAAAGCUGUCUCACUCCAGCCUGAAAAGUAAAAAAAAAAAAAAAAAUUAGAAAAUCAAACAAUAACACACUACACAUUUCAGAAAAUUAAUUUAAAAAAAAACUUUUUUUUUUUUUAAAGGAAAGCAUUACUUUUCUCUUCUGCCUUUGGAACAAUAAUUCUCUAUUUUUCAUCAUAAAGGGCCAGCAAUGUUACUUUAGAAAUAAGCAUAGUGACAAGUUGCAAAAAACAUCCUUCAUUUGCCUCUAGGUAAGAAAGCCAUGCUACUGAUUAUAAACCAUGUCCCAGCGAAAUUUGGAACAAUUAGGUUACCCGUGUGCUGUUACUCUGCCAGAGAACACCAUAGUGCUUGCUUAGUUGGCUACUAAAAUCAUAAAUCGAUCCAGGCCCCAUCUCCCUGUGACAGAUGAUUAGUAAACACUUACGUAUGACCAUCUGUUGGUCAUUUAAAUACAUUCUACUCCUCUCUUCCAUUUUGGAUAUGAACUCACUAUUCAAAGACCGUUCUCUAAAUUGCCACUAGCUCUCCUACAUUACCAAUUUUUGUGUAUUUGCCGCCUACAAUUCCUUUUCUCUCUUCUCUUGAACACAUUUCAGCUGAACUUUUGCCACCCACCACUUUGCAAAGCUGUUGGUCAGGGUCGCCUCCAAGGUGCUCAGACCAGUGCUCACUUGUCAGUCCUCUUAGCAGUUAGUCUAUCAGCAAGGACACAGGCGAUCUCCUCUCCUAACGAAAACGCUUUUCCCCUCUUGGCUUCCAGAGAAUACUCACUGGUAACUUUUUACCUCAUUUAUCAGUCUUCCUUAAUCUCCUUUGGUGCUUCUUUCUCCUAACUUGGAAUACUAAGCACUAACUACCCAAAGGCCCAGUCCUCAGAUUCCUUCUUUUUCUGCACUGUUCCCUAGCUGAUCUCGUCUAAUAUCCAGACUUUCAGUACCAGGUAUAUGCUCAUCCUCCCACAUUUGUAUUUCCACAUUGGAACCUACCAACCGUCUACUUGACAGUUUCAGCUAGAUGUCUGACAAGUAUUACAACACAGCCAAACUGAACACUAUUGCCUCCCCUCAAAGCGUGGUGCUCUUGCAUCUUCUACGCUUCAAUCCUACCCUUAAUGUUACAACUGAAAGACCUUUCUCUCACACUCAGCCCAUUAGGAAUACCUGUUUGCCUCACUUUCAAAACACCACAGUCCCAGAAUCUGACCACUUCACAUCACCUCCAAUUGCUGCCACUUUGGCCUGAGGCACUCUCAUCUCUUGCCUGGAUUUGGUAAUGGCUUCCGAUCUAGUUCCCAUGCCUUUGCCUUCCUUUGGUCUACGUGCAGCAGAACAGUGGCAGUGGUAUCACUCCAGCCCUCAAAGCCUACAACUGCUCAUCUUCCUUGGUCCUUACAGUGGCCUACAAACCCCCGUGACCUGGUCCCAAUUACCUCUCUGACUCCUCUCCCCUUGUUCCAGCUUCACUCGACCCUUCUGCCACUAACAGCAUUCCCUGAGAUAACCAUGUGGCAUGCUCCCUCUCCGGUCAGACACCAGUGAGGCCUACCCUAUAUAAAAUGCAUUCGGUUCAUUUAUCCAACAAGUAUGCUCCCUACCCUUCCCUAACCCUGAUUCCCCUAUCCACAACACUUACCACCUCCUGACACAUUAUAAAAUUUAGCAUUUGCUAUGCUGCUGUGUUUACUGUUGCUCACCCAUUAUCAUGUAAUCUCUCCAAAAAAAAGGAUUUUGUCUUUUUUUUCACUGCUGACCUCUAUACCUCAAGUAAUGCCUGGCACAGAGUAAGUAAUAAAUGUUUACUGGAUGAACAGAAA